AUGAAGAACGUAGCGAAAUGCGAUACUUGGUGUGAAUUGCAGAAUCCCGCGAAUCAUCGAGUCUUUGAACGCAAGUUGCGCCCGAGGCCAUUAGGCCGAGGGCACGUCUGCAUGGGCGUCACGC
Molecule: ribosomal RNA, 124 nt
Filed under: Plagiobothrys myosotoides
Lineage: Eukaryota; Viridiplantae; Streptophyta; Magnoliopsida; Boraginales; Boraginaceae
Also listed under: 9 other names
Description: 5.8S ribosomal RNA
Rfam family: 5.8S ribosomal RNA
About the family: 5.8S ribosomal RNA (5.8S rRNA) is a component of the large subunit of the eukaryotic ribosome. It is transcribed by RNA polymerase I as part of the 45S precursor that also contains 18S and 28S rRNA.
Source: RNAcentral